GCAAGUCGAACGAGAUUCUCUUCUUCGGAGGAGAUGAAAGUGGCGCACGGGUGCGUAACGCGUAUGCAACCUACCCUUAACUGGGGGAUAGCCCGGAGAAAUUCGGAUUAAUACCCCAUAGAAUCACCAGAUGGCAUCUGAAGGUGAUUAAAGAUUUAUUGGUUAAGGAUGGGCAUGCAUGACAUUAGAUAGUUGGUGAGGUAACGGCUCACCAAGUCAGCGAUGUCUAGGGGUUCUGAGAGGAUGAUC
Molecule: ribosomal RNA, 249 nt
Filed under: uncultured bacterium
Lineage: Bacteria
Description: partial 16S ribosomal RNA
Rfam family: Bacterial small subunit ribosomal RNA
Source: RNAcentral